RNAcentral lists this ribosomal RNA (250 nucleotides) under uncultured bacterium. RNAcentral describes it as "partial 16S ribosomal RNA". It matches the Rfam family "Bacterial small subunit ribosomal RNA", at positions 524 to 773 of the family's 1533-position model. The record is from RNAcentral.
GACGAACCGUGCGAACGUUGUUCGGAAUCACUGGGCUUAAAGGGCGCGUAGGCGGAUCAUCAAGUCAGGGGUGAAAUCCCACGGCUCAACCGUGGAAGUGCCUUUGAUACUGAUGGUCUGGAGUGGGGUAGGGGCAUGCGGAACUGGUGGUGGAGCGGUGAAAUGCGUAGAUAUCACCAGGAACGCCGGUGGCGAAAGCGGCGUGCUGGACCCCAACUGACGCUGAUGCGCGAAAGCCAGGGGAGCAAAC